Erinaceus europaeus (western European hedgehog) is the source of this 107-nucleotide small nuclear RNA. The record is from Ensembl. Lineage: Eukaryota; Metazoa; Chordata; Mammalia; Eulipotyphla; Erinaceidae.
GUCCUCACUUUGGCAGCAUAUAUGCUAAAAGUGGAAUGAUACAGAGCAGAUUAACAUGCCCCCUGCACAAGAAUGACAUGCAAAUUCAUGAAGUGUUCAAUAUUAAA